This 378-nucleotide unclassified non-coding RNA is filed under the name uncultured bacterium. RNAcentral describes it as "contains 16S-23S intergenic spacer region". The record is from RNAcentral.
UCCGGUUUGUCACCGGCAGUCUCCGAUGAGUCCCCGGCAUAACCCGCUGGCAACAUCGGAUAAGGGUUGCGCUCGUUGCGGGACUUAACCCAACACCUCACGGCACGAGCUGACGACAGCCAUGCACCACCUGUGAUGGUGUCCCGAAGGAAGACCGUGUUUCCACGGCUGUCACCAACAUGUCAAGCCUAGGUAAGGUUCUUCGCGUUGCGUCGAAUUAAACCACAUGCUCCACCGCUUGUGCGGGCCCCCGUCAAUUCCUUUGAGUUUCAACCUUGCGGUCGUACUCCCCAGGCGGCGAACUUAACGCGUUAGCUUCGACACUGAGAGCCUAAUUGCUCCCAACGUCCAGUUCGCAUCGUUUAGGGCGUGGACUAC